GACGAACGCUGGCGGCGUGCUUAACACAUGCAAGUCGAACGGAAAGGCUCCAGCUUGCUGGAGUACUCGAGUGGCGAACGGGUGAGUAACACGUGGGUAAUCUGCCCUGCACUCUGGGAUAAGCCUGGGAAACUGGGUCUAAUACUGGAUAUGACCUUUCUCCUUAUGGGGUUUGGUGGAAAGUUUUUCGGUGUAGGAUGAGCCCGCGGCCUAUCAGCUUGUUGGUGGGGUGAUGGCCUACCAAGGCGACGACGGGUAGCCGGCCUGAGAGGGUGAUCGGCCACAUUGGGACUGAGAUACAGCCCAGACUCCUACGGGAGGCAGCAGUGGGGAAUAUUGCACAAUGGGCGGAAGCCUGAUGCAGCGACGCCGCGUGAGGGAUGACGGCCUUCGGGUUGUAAACCUCUUUCAGCAGGGACGAAGCGUAAGUGACGGUACCUGCAGAAGAAGCACCGGCUAACUAUGUG
Molecule: ribosomal RNA, 467 nt
Filed under: uncultured bacterium
Lineage: Bacteria
Description: partial 16S ribosomal RNA
Rfam family: Bacterial small subunit ribosomal RNA
Source: RNAcentral